GGCUAACUACGUGCCAGCAGCCGCGGUAAUACGUAGGGUGCAAGCGUUGUCCGGAAUUAUUGGGCGUAAAGAGCUCGUAGGCGGUUUGUCGCGUCUGCUGUGAAAUUUCGAGGCUCAACCUCGAACUUGCAGUGGGUACGGGCAGGCUAGAGUGCAGUAGGGGAGAUGGGAAUUCCUGGUGUAGCGGUGGAAUGCGCAGAUAUCAGGAGGAACACCAAUGGCGAAGGCACAUCUCUGGGCUGUAACUGACGCUGAGGAGCGAAAGCGUGGGGAGCGAACAGGAUUAGAUACCCUGGUAGUCCACGCCGUAAACGGUGGGUGCUAGCUGUGGGCCACAUUCCACGUGGUCCGUGACGAAGUUAACACAUUAAGCACCCCGCCUGGGGAGUACGGCCGCAAGGCUAAAACUCAAAGGAAUUGACGGGGGCCCGCACAAGCGGCGGAGCAUGCGGAUUAAUUCGACGCAACGCGAAGAACCUUACCAAGGCUUGACAUAUACAGGAAAAGCGUAGAAAUACGCUCCCCGCAAGGUCUGUAUACAGGUGGUGCAUGGUUGUCGUCAGCUCGUGUCGUGAGAUGUUGGGUUAAGUCCCGCAACGAGCGCAACCCUCGUCCUAUGUUGCCAGCACGUAAUGGUGGGAACUCAUGGGAUACUGCCGGGGUCAACUCGGAGGAAGGUGGGGAUGACGUCAAAUCAUCAUGCCCCUUAUGUCUUGGGCUUCACGCAUGCUACAAUGGCCGGUACAGAGGGCUGCAAUACCGUAAGGUGGAGCGAAUCCCAAAAAGCCGGUCUCAGUUCGGAUUGAGGUCUGCAACUCGACCUCAUGAAGUCGGAGUCGCUAGUAAUCGUAGAUCAGCAACGCUACGGUGAAUACGUUCCCGGGC
RNAcentral lists this ribosomal RNA (885 nucleotides) under marine metagenome. RNAcentral describes it as "bacterial SSU rRNA". It matches the Rfam family "Bacterial small subunit ribosomal RNA", at positions 495 to 1379 of the family's 1533-position model. The record is from RNAcentral.